This 325-nucleotide long non-coding RNA is filed under the name Phoenix dactylifera (date palm). RNAcentral's name for it is "long non-coding RNA (PDAC_LNC011234)". Lineage: Eukaryota; Viridiplantae; Streptophyta; Magnoliopsida; Arecales; Arecaceae. The record is from RNAcentral.
CCCAGUUCUACAGUUGAUACAUGCAUUGGCUGUAGCUAAAAAGGGACGACCAAGAAUCACAGGGAUUUGUUUUUUAAGGUUGGGCACAUGUUCCAUGUCAAGGACGAUAAAAUCUACUGAAAAAUAGAAUUUGUCUACCUUGACAAGAACAUCUUCAAUCAUCCCCCUUGGCAUCUUCACCGAUCGAUCAGCCAAUUGUAAAGAUACCGAGGUAGGUUUCAAUUCACCCAACCCAAAUUUUUCAUAGACUGAAUAGGGUAGAAGAUUCACACUUGCCCCUAGAUCUAAGAGUGCUCGGUCGAUGGAGUUAUUUCCUAUGACACAG